RNAcentral lists this ribosomal RNA (576 nucleotides) under Ascomycota sp. C47. RNAcentral describes it as "eukaryotic LSU rRNA". It matches the Rfam family "Eukaryotic large subunit ribosomal RNA", at positions 38 to 629 of the family's 3401-position model. Lineage: Eukaryota; Fungi; Ascomycota. The record is from RNAcentral.
GCAUAUCAAUAACCGGAGGAAAAGAAACCAACAGGGAUUGCCCUAGUAACGGCGAGUGAAGCGGCAAUAGCUCAAAUUUGAAAGCUGGCGUCUUCGACGUCCGCGUUGUAAUUUGUAGAGGAUGCUUCGGCGAGGACUCCUGCCUAAGUCCCCUGGAACGGGGCGUCACAGAGGGUGAGAAUCCCGUAUGUGGCGGGCGGUCCAAGCCAUGUGAAGCUCCUUCGACGAGUCGAGUUGUUUGGGAAUGCAGCUCUAAAUGGGAGGUACAUUUCUUCUAAAGCUAAAUAUUGGCCAGAGACCGAUAGCGCACAAGUAGAGUGAUCGAAAGAUGAAAAGCACUUUGGAAAGAGAGUCAAACAGCACGUGAAAUUGUUGAAAGGGAAGCGCUUGCAACCAGACUCGCUCGCAGUUGCUCAGCCGGCCUCUUGGCCGGUGUACUCUUCUGCGAUCGGGCCAGCAUCAGUUCGGGCGGCUGGAUAAAGGUGUCGGGAAUGUAGCACCCUUCGGGGUGUGUUAUAGCCCGGCGCGGAAUGCGGCCAGCCUGGACGAGGAUCUCGCUCUCUGCUAGGAUGCUGG